This 83-nucleotide transfer RNA is filed under the name Merismopedia glauca CCAP 1448/3. It matches the Rfam family "tRNA". From Rfam's summary of the family: Transfer RNA (tRNA) molecules are approximately 80 nucleotides in length. Lineage: Bacteria; Bacillati; Cyanobacteriota; Cyanophyceae; Synechococcales; Merismopediaceae. The record is from Rfam by way of RNAcentral.
CCAGAGUUGGCCGAGCGGUUUAGGCACCGGACUCAUAAUCCGUGAGGGUUUCCUCAAGGCAGGUUCGACCCCUGCACUCUGGA